Molecule: unclassified non-coding RNA, 377 nt
Filed under: uncultured Solirubrobacterales bacterium
Lineage: Bacteria; Bacillati; Actinomycetota; Thermoleophilia; Solirubrobacterales
Description: contains 16S-23S intergenic spacer region
Source: RNAcentral
UCCGGUUUGUCACCGGCAGUCUGAAGUGAGUCCCCAACUAAAUGCUGGCAACAUGCGACGGGGGUUGCGCUCGUUGCGGGACUUAACCCAACAUCUCACGACACGAGCUGACGACAGCCAUGCACCACCUGUGAUCCUGCCCACAAGGGGAAACCGUGUUUCCACGGCGGUCGGGAACAUGUCAAACCCAGGUAAGGUUCUUCGCGUUGCGUCGAAUUAAACCACAUGCUCCGCUGCUUGUGCGGGUCCCCGUCAAUUCCUUUGAGUUUUAGCCUUGCGGCCGUACUCCCCAGGCGGGGUACUUAUUGCGUUAGCGACGGCACCGAAGGGGUCGCUCCUCCCGGCGCCUAGUACCCAUCGUUUACGGCGUGGACUAC